This 280-nucleotide ribosomal RNA is filed under the name Salmonella enterica. RNAcentral's name for it is "partial 23S ribosomal RNA". It matches the Rfam family "Bacterial large subunit ribosomal RNA", at positions 2663 to 2925 of the family's 2925-position model. The record is from RNAcentral. Lineage: Bacteria; Pseudomonadati; Pseudomonadota; Gammaproteobacteria; Enterobacterales; Enterobacteriaceae.
UGAGGGGGGCUGCUCCUAGUACGAGAGGACCGGAGUGGAUGCAUCACUGGUGUUCGGGUUGUCAUGCCAAUGGCACUGCCCGGUAGCUAAAUGCGGAAAAGAUAAGUGCUGAAAGCAUCUAAGCACGAAACUUGCCCCGAGAUGAGUCUUCCCUGAGACUUUGAGUCUCCUGAAGGAACGUUAAAGACGAUGACGUUGAUAGGCCGGGUGUGUAAGCGCAGCGAUGCGUUGAGCUAACCGGUACUAAUGAACCGUGAGGCUUAACCUUACAACGCCGAAG